This 4556-nucleotide long non-coding RNA is filed under the name Capsicum annuum. Its description in RNAcentral is "long non-coding RNA (CANN_LNC004274)". Lineage: Eukaryota; Viridiplantae; Streptophyta; Magnoliopsida; Solanales; Solanaceae. The record is from RNAcentral.
UUAUCCUUUUUUUGGUUUUUUCUUUUCCGUAUUUUUCUUUUUCUUUUCCUAUUUUCAUUUUCUUCCUCUUUUUUCUAUUUUUAUUUCUUUUUUUUUCAUUUAUUUUUACAAUUAUAUUUCUAGCUUUUAUUUCUCUCUUUUUUCUAUUUUCACUUCUUUUUCAUUGGAUUUUUAUUUUUUGUUUUUUUUGUUUUUCUACUUUGAUUUUUUUCAUUUUUUACUCAUCUAUAUCUAGCUUUUAUUUUUUAGAAGACAACAUAUUCAAAAAAAUAUAUACAAAUUAAGAAAAACUACUCUAUUCUCAUCUUACAAAAGUGUAAAGACUGCAUUAACAUGAUCUUCCCACUAAACUUGUCAAUAGCACUUACGUGCUAGAAAAAAAAGAGUUAUCAUGUCUAAAUAUUUAUAUUAAUACUUUUUUUUUUUAAAUUGCCAUCAAUUAAUUCAAAUCAUCAAGCUCAUAACUCAUAAGAGAUCUCUUAGACGUAAAACAAAAUAAAUUCAUACAAAUCUCAAAAUACCUCCGGUCGGAUGAAUGGAGGACCGACCGACCCGGGUUUUCAAGAGCGUUGGCAGGUUCUGAAGAGCCUGUCAAGGGCACUAGCACAUUCCCCGGAGUGAUCAUCACCACCUGCACCUCACAUCUCGGCACAGUGGAACGUGUAACCCGACUGUUAUUCCAUUCAACUACAUUUGUUCCUUUAAUCCAUAGCAAUAAAGAACGCAACAGCGAGGAAGAAACCGCCCAUACAGCCAAAGGGGAGGAUGGCACAACUGGCAAAGACCGUCUGGCGAAAACGCCGCAAGCGCGAAGCGUGGUACAACAAUAGAGAAAGAUUCUAACUUCACUUGCUGCCUUUAUGCUAAAGAUCUUGCCAAUUAAUAAAUAGUUCUUUUUAAAUAAAGAUGAUAAAAACUUACAAGGUCUUGCUUAGCGCUACUAAGCACGGUUACGCCUUCCUAAGCCUUGAUAAGCCUAACCUUAUAAAGUUACGCUAAGCGCGGCUAAGCCUCAUUUAAAGGGCUAUUUUCUUAUACAAAAUCACCUUCUUAUUUUCGUAAUUCCAAAUUUUAAGCGUCAUUAAUUAAUUCUAAUCAUGGAGAUCACAACUCAUAAAAGACCCAUUAGACUUGAAAAAAAAUAAACUCAUACAGGAUCUUAGAAACUUUUCUGGUAACAAUUGUUAAUUAAUGAUUCAUCGAGUUUUAGUUAGGAAUUAAUCGGUUAUACUCCUAAUAUUCUCCAAUUCUACAAAUGAACAUGAUCAAACUUUUCUACGUCUUGCUUAUCCCUAUUAAGCACGGUUAAUCCCUGCUGAGCUUCGUCAAUCCUAGACUCACUAGGCCACAUUAAGCCAAGCUAAGCCUUGGUAAGCCUAGUAAAAAUAGAAGGCUCUAAGGUUAGGGCUCAAGGCUCAUGGGUCGGGGUUAGGCUCGGAGUUGGAGGCGCAAGAUUCAUAGAGACUCAGGGGUUUAGGUUUUUGAUUUCGGGUUUAGAAUUAAGUUUUAUUAGGGUUCUGAGUUUGUGUCCCGCCGUAUAAUACUUUUAUGUUACAGUCUAUCUCGAAAGAAGAGGUGUUAUAUUAAACUAGGGGACCCUAUACUCUACAUCACAUUAAAAAAUCACCUAACCUCAUCACUAUAAUCCAACAACCUCAAGUCUUAAUUCAAAGAAUAUUAACCACAUGACACAUUGGUUUGUGGUUUCAUCAAUCACAAAAUUCAAGCCUACCACUACUAUACCCUACUUCAUGGAUCUCUCCACUAAGACCAACAAAUUCAAUCAUUCUCGCAAAGAUUCUCGCCAUAUACUUCCCUCCUAACUAUUUCACGUAAAGAAUAUUCAUCUCCUUCCUCCUCCUGCCCCUUUAACCUUAGCUCAAGAAAUCUCAUAAAAAAAUUUCACCUACAACAACAUCUACUCCCUAAACUAACACAUUUCUACGCUUCCACAACCAUCAUCAUACUAACAUACAAAGGGUAAUUAAAGGACCUGAGCACAAUCAUCAUGAAAAAGAGUAGCAGUGUUCAGUUAUAACAUAUACUUAUUACACUAUUCAAGGUGGGACAUGAGUUAAAGAUAUGAUACAAUCACGGAGUAUUUCAUAUAUCAAGUGUAUGAUUCACAAGUGGAGAGUGGUUCUGGCAUAAGCUCAGCGUAACUCGAGUUCUUAGGACAACCACAGUGAGAAACAUGAGAGCUUACAUCACGAGUCUUAUAACAAGUGUGGAAUUCCUGAAGACGAUGAUUUAGAAAAGGACUUCUACUCGAAGCUAUAACUUCUCAUUUUUAGAGCUGAAAUAGUCAUGAGUUCGUACAACUUUAUCAUUUUGGCUAACCCCGACAUAAAAUGAAUCAUUAACAUACGAAACAUAGUUCCUUAAAACCAAGUAUGAUUUUGGACACAAAUUUAUGGAUCAUGUACCUCAUAACAUAGAGUUUGGAUACUUGAAAUAUAGGAUCACUGAGUGACAUUAUUGCUUCUAAUUUGAGGUCGGAACAUGACAUGAGUUUCAUAGAGUGCUCAAACCUCAAACAUAGGCCGAACUUAACUACAUAAAACAUUGGUAGGUGUUAAUUCAAACCGAAGGAGGAGGAGCUUGCUUGAAUAUGAAUUGAUUUAUCAAGCCUCUUACAAGAAACUUAACACCACAAGAAAAUUUGGGAACUACUUUAAUCUAUCAUCUCCCCCAUAGAUAAAAGUUACAUUUGUAAAUUUGUCGUCAUAUCUUCACAUCAAAAUCUAUAGCCACAACUCUCAAAAAGAUAUCUCACCAUACACAUAAGCGCUAAACUCUCUGAUAAACUAUACUCUGAAGGCCUCGCUUUUCGAAAGUGCUACUCUAUAGCCAUCACUCUACAACUCCCACUCUCAUGAGCAUACGCCUCCACACUCCAUAUCAUAAAGGGGUCCCAGAAUACAUAUGAACACAAACUCCCCUCCAUAAAUUUUUUUAUACAAAGACACUAAUUCAUUCUCGGACAUCCCUUUCAGGUACACUAAUCGUAACAUCCUAAAACACCCAAAGUCAUCUAUUUAUGGCUAACGUUAGUCCAUCCACGCUUCUAGACACACACAACACUUCAUCUUCAACUGCUUAGAAUACUUUGCAUUAUACCUCUAAUCAUGUAACUUGCAACUUAGCAUUAUACCCAUAUUUCCUCAAUUCAACUCUAAAUAACGCUAUACAACAACUCCUCAGACUUCUUCAUACCACAAGAUUCGAGAAUGAAAUAUAAAUACACGUGACACUCAUACACAUCACCCUUUAUCUAAUAACUUGCUACCUUGGGGUUCAACUUAUUCAUUUAUACUUAGGAUCUUAUCCACUUAAUGACUCAACCACAAUUCAUCAUUUUUGUAUACUAAUCCUCAUGUACAUAAAUAUCACAGUUAUCCAAUCUUUUUUCCAUAAGUUGCCAACCUAAGUUAUUUCACACCUCACAUCAAGCCUACUAAUUCAUUCCCACAAAUCAUGCAUUAAGAAUCUUGAGCUGUAAUUCUUAUUACUACAGUCCACAUCUAAAGUUCAAGCCUAUUGUCUAACAACACCAAUCAUAUGAUACAUGUCACAUACUAUACUAAUCAAUCGAAUAGAAAUAUCAACACAAGUCUCAUAUUUCACUAGUCUAUGGCCCAUAAGUCAAUCCUCUCCACGACAUUACCACUAAACCUCCAAAUCUACUACAUACCUUCUCACACGUACUACGAAUUUACAACUACUAAAGAAAAGACAAAUCAAGGGGGAGGAAGGGGGGGUAAGAUCACAUAAUGAAGGUAGUAGAUCUUAAUCUUAUAUCAUAACCCAUUACGAUCUUAUCAACAUAUUCUAUUUUCUCACAUCAUAGUUUCCUAUACAUGCAUGCAUUACAACUAACUUCAAAAUUCCAUAUACAACAAUGAGUCUAUACUCGUAACUUAUUGGCUAAUCUCACCAUUUCCAAUCACAGUCUAUAUGUGAUUUCCAUAACCACCAUAACUAUCCACUCUAGGCUCUAUCCAUAUUCAGAAUAGAUAAUAAUAAUAGCCAAACACUUCCUCCAAAAACUACCAUACGAUCUACUAAUGCUGCUACCACACUAGUCUAUCACAAUAAAAUGACAAAUCAUCCCUGUAUCAACGGUUAUACAAGUAAAACUAUUUAUUUACUCAAAAAUCACACUCUGACUUCUAACCUUGUGACUUCAUAUCACCAACGUCUUGCCCCAACCUCACUACUAAUAGGUCAUGACACUUUAACAUAUACUACUACUCGGGUGAAAAUACGGUUCUAACAUUCUUCUAUACAUCAUUACCCUUAUACAUGACAUUUGCAACAAGAAUUUUAAUAGAGACUGGAUACACUUAAUACAUUGGGCUGAAAAGCACGAUUUCAUCAGGAUCAAAGUUUACACUAAAACCAAUACACCUUUAAGCACGAACGGACUCCUCUCAAGUCCGUAGGCAAUUUCAUAACCUUUUACGAUUCAAUUAGAAGGGACAACCUCAUCUAGGUUCUAAGAAUUACCAUAGAAGGAAAUUCAAAUUACGCCACAAUGCUUUACAGAAAUAACU